Molecule: ribosomal RNA, 208 nt
Filed under: uncultured bacterium
Lineage: Bacteria
Description: partial 16S ribosomal RNA
Rfam family: Bacterial small subunit ribosomal RNA
Source: RNAcentral
CGCGCAGGCGGCUCGUUAAGUCCAAGGUGAAAUCCCACGGCUCAACUGUGGGGGGACCCUGGAUACUGGCGGGCUGGAGUGCGGGAGAGGGAAGCGGAAUUCCACAUGUAACGGUGAAAUGUAUAGAUAUGUGGAGGAACACCGGUGGCGAAGGCGGCUUCCUGGACCGUAACUGACGCUGAGGCGCGAAAGCUGGGGGAGCGAACAG